This 231-nucleotide ribosomal RNA is filed under the name uncultured bacterium. RNAcentral's name for it is "partial 16S ribosomal RNA". It matches the Rfam family "Bacterial small subunit ribosomal RNA", at positions 524 to 754 of the family's 1533-position model. The record is from RNAcentral.
UACGUAGGGUGCGAGCGUUAAUCGGAAUUACUGGGCGUAAAGGGUGCGCAGGCGGUUAUAUAAGACAGAUGUGAAAUCCCCGGGCUCAACCUGGGAACUGCGUUUGUGACUGUAUGACUAGAGUACGGUAGAGAGGGGUGGAAUUCCUGGUGUAGCAGUGAAAUGCGUAGAUAUCAGGAGGAACAUCGAUGGCGAAGGCAGCCCCUUGGACCUGUACUGACGCUCAUGCAC